CACUAAUGGUCUUAUGGUGUCACAGUCCUUUCGAGAGUCUCUGUUAACUGGGGGAAUGUUUUCCCCUUCAGGCUCAACAGUUGUGGGCUCACUGAGAGGAGCUGUGCAGGUCUGGCAUCUGUCCUCACCAAAGCAUCUUCAAAACUUAAAAUUCUGGACCUCAGUGAAAACAGUAUUGGAGAUAUUGGGGUUCAAGAACUGUGUAGUGGACUUGGUAACCCAAACUGUGUACUGGAGACACUCAGACAGGGGCCAGAGCGAGAUUCUUGAAGUUCACGCAUGCGCAUUUGUACUACCUACGGGGAUUCCCACUGGACUUAGGAAGGAGUAAGGAAUUUCCACUGGAGGAAGGAUUGGAAGCGGCGCGAGUCUCCGACAACCACGCUCUGAAACUACCACGUUUUGGAAAAGAUACAACCUGCAAUGCAAUGCAAGAAAUGUAACUUUUCCCACUCGAAUGUGAGGACCCUCAUUAAUCACUACCGGCUCGUACAUGCUCAAGGAAGAACUUGGCCCUGCCCCUAUUCUGAUUGUGUCUGCACCUUUAGGACAUCAGAAUGCUGUUGCGGGUGUGCAUAUCCUCAGACAACAUUCGGCGGGUCAACCUUCCUUGUCUGCCAGAAUCUGUGGAUCAACUGAAGGAUAUUCUCAGAGAGAUGCUUGGACUGACAGAACAAUUUUCUUUGCAAUUUGAAGAUCCAGAGUUUGGCAAUGCUCUUUGUAAUUUACACAGCAUAGAUGAGUUGCCUGCAGACAAAGCAAUCCUAAAAGUUGUGUGGGACAACACAGCCUCUGAUGAUACUCAGACACCUGCAUCAGAUCUGUCCGAUACAAAUUCGGUGUCAUCACUUGACACAGCAAGCACAUCUAGUCAUGAGAAUUUAAGUUCUCCAAACUUUUACAAAAGACUCAAAACAGCCAAAAACUUGCCAUUACCAGGAUCAAUUGAAAUUCCCAAAUUCCCCCUUGAUGUUGAACUUCGUCUCAAAAAAGGCAACGAGAUAUACAGGCAGACCAAAACUCCCAUUGUCCCCCCAAGAGAAAUGAAAUCUGCCAUUUGUACUGCGUUAGUUGAAUCAAUAUUUGAAUCUGGUUGCUACCCAGAAAAGCAAGAUAUGAAGUUUUAUGCUGCAGCACUAGUAGAAAAGCACCCAUGUCUCACAGAAGAUGGUCCUGGGAGCGGGUAUGAUGGAUGGCUUGUAAGCCUUUGGUUUAAAGUUGGGAACUAUCGGAGUAAGUUGCGUAAAGCAGGACAUGCAGAAGUGAGCGUGAACAAAAGACAACAAGAAGAAGGGUUUCGCCUCAAGAAAGCAAGAAGAGCAGAGACAAACUUUUUACCACCCCAUCCCGAAGGCCAAUCUGAUGAGACCCUUGAGGACUUAAGACUGCAAAUAAUUAAAGAAACCGAAAAGAAGAAGUUUGAUAGCACCUUUGUUAAAGAAACAAUGGCUCUAACCUUUUCCCUCCGACGUCAAGAGGUGGUUGACAUCCAGCCUCUGGUUACCGUAUUGAGAGACAGAUGGCCUGCUCUGUUCUUCAAAGAUGAGAUUUGCCGGGAAUUCUACCGGAUUACCAACAUAGACCUCAUGGUAACAUUCCAGUCAUCGCUUGAAAAAUUUACUCCAGCACUACUGAAGUAUUACCGGAAGAAGAAGGAGCUGACUGCACUGCUUGCUCCUCUAGACGACCAGGUGUCAGACAUUGUGGACCUUCGGAAAAGAGUUGCCUUGGAAGGACUACCUCUCGUCCUAAAAGAGGAGUCUGGAUGCCUUUUUCGGAAAUGUUUGGAUACUGAUGCAGAAGACGACAUCUACACACGAGAUGUGAAGAUUGGCAUCCUCACAGUGCUGGAGGAUGAUGUUGCUGCCAAGAAGUCGCUUCCUACGGUAAUAAACAUUGCAAUCGUUCUGGAAGAGACUGUGGUCCUAGAGGACAUUCAAGACAUGCCAUCCGCCGUUGCGUACCUCUUUGGGCUCAUGUACGCCACAAAUAUGGAAUACCCAAAGGACCUUUGCUACACGUUCGAGGUGAUCCAGAGGGUAUUUCUGGAACUUGAUGCCCAGACCUGCUCAUCCAGAACGCUUUCUCUUCGGCCCUGGGUAAGUGCCUUAUUGGAAAGGAAGGCUUCAGAGCUCUUGCAUCAGCACUGAGAUCAAACCCCUCACACAUGAGAGAGCUGCAGCUGAGUGGGAAUAAAGCAGGAGACUCAGGAAUGAAGCAUCUUUCUUCUCUUCUGGAGGAUCCCAACUGCAAACUGGAGAAACUACAGUAUCACAAGGCCAAGUACUGAGUUGCUAUCACGCACACACACACACACGCACGCACGCACGCACGCACGCACGCACGCACACACACACACACACACGCACACCACUGAGUCAGUCCGUCAGUCACUCUCUCACUCACGUACAGUACACAAUCACUCACACUAUGACAAAACACACACACACACACACACACACACAAACACAAAGAGCAUUGAACAUUUGACAUUAAUGUUGAUUGUCCAAAAGGAAAUGAAGAUGAAGUAGUUCUCCUACUUCUCUCUACAGUAUUGGAGAGGAAGGCUUCAGAGCUCUUGCAUCAGCACUGAGAUCAAACCCCUCACACAUGAGAGAGCUGCAGCUGAGUUGGAAUAUAGCAGGAGACUCAGGAGUGAAGCAUCUUUCUUCUCUUCUGGAGGAUCCCAACUGUAAACUGGAGAAACUAUACCUGCAUAACUGCAGUAUUGGAGAGGAAGGUGUCAUAGCUCUUGCAUCAGCACUGAGAUCAAACCCCUCACACAUGAGAAAGCUGCAGCUGAGUCAUAAUGAAGCAGGAGACUCAGGAGUGAAGCAUCUUUGUUCUCUUCUGGAGGAUCCCAACUGUAAACUGGAGAAACUACACCUGUUUAAGUGCAGUAUUGGAGAGGAAGGCUUCAAAGCUCUUGCAUCAGCUCUGAGGUCAAACCCCUCACACAUGAGAGAGCUGCAGCUGAGUGGGAAUAAAGCAGGAGGCUCAGGAGUGAAGCAUCUUUCUUCUCUUCUGGAGGAUCCCAACUGUAAACUAGAAUAUCUACACCUGAAUAAGUGCAGUAUUGGAGAGGAAGGCUUCAGAGCUCUUGCAUCAGCACUGAGAUCAAACCCCUCACACAUGAGAGAGCUGCGGCUGAGUGGGAAUAAAGCAGGAGACUCAGGCAUGAAGCAUCUUUCUUCUCUUCUGAAGAAUCCCAACUGUAAACUGGAGAAACUAAACCUGAAUAACUGCAGUAUUGGAGAGGAAGGCUUCAGAGCUCUUGCAUCAGCACUGAGAUCAAACCCCUCACACAUGAGAGAGCUGCAGCUGAGUGGGAAUAAAGCAGGAGACUCAGGAGUGAAGCAUCUUUCUUCUCUUCUGAAGAAUCCCAACUGUACACUGGAGAAACUAUAGUGAGUAUCACAAGACCAAAUACUUAAUCUGUUUUUCUCACUCAAACACAAACUCACCACUGAAUCAGUCAGUCACUCAAUGACUCAAUCACUGAUUAACACUCACACAUACACACAUCACUGAAUCACACCCUCCCUCCUUUAUUUAGUCACCCACUUACACACAAACACAACAAACACACACUAACACACUGUUACGCCGUAAAUGGGCGCAACAACAAAAAGGGGGGAAACAGCGAGGUUGCAGCAAUUUAACAAUUUGUUUUGCCCGAAACGAAAGUCCAAAGUUGCCCAAAAGCAGCGGCCGGCCAGCUUCAGACGGAAAACACAAGCAAGCCAGGACAGCGUUCUUGCAGUUAGUCAGCUGCUCUGCUCAAGUCCGAGUCCACCGCUCUCAGUGGGAGGAGCUCCAGCGCUUUAAGACUCAUCAGGUGACCUGUGCACCGGUGCACCUAAUUAGCCUCCAAUCACGGACGAGAAACGAGAAGCACAGCCGGGGAAGGGGCAAGGCCGGGGGCCUGUAACCCCGCAUUCACACUGUCUCCGUCCGUCAACGGAUCUCAUUCACUUUGCAUGGGGCGGACUCGAAAGGCAUUGUGGGUCCGUCCGUCGCUUCAGCUCCGUUGCCUCCGUCAAGAAAGUUGAGAAAUGUUCAACUUUUCAGGCAGCGACGGAUCCGUCAGCCAAUCAGAUCAUGUGUAUGCAAAUACACAUACGGCAGAUCCAACCUCCGUGAUCCGUUGACGGACGGAGACAGUGUGUACGCGGGGUUACACACACACACAUACAUACACACACACACACACACACACACACAGAGUAUUGUAAAUUUGACAGUAAUGUUGAUUGUCCUAAAGGAAAUGAAGAUGAAGUAUUUCUCCUACUUCUCUCUACAGCCUGUAUAACUGCAGUAUUGGAGAGGAAGGCUUCAGAGCUCUUGCAUCAGCACUGAGAUCAAACCCCUCACACAUGAGAGAGCUGUGGCUGAGUAAUAAUAAAGCAGGAGACUCAGGAGUGAAGCAUCUUUGUUCUCUUCUGGAGGAUCCCAACUGUAAACUGGAGAAACUAGUCCUGCAGUGCUGCAGUAUAACAGAUGAUGGUUUCAGAGCUUUAGCAUCAGCACUGAGAUCAAACCCAUCAGCCCUCAGAAACCUCUUUCUGCUGGAGGAUAAUCAGCCUGGACCCUCAGCACAGCAGCUGCUCUCUGAACUGAGGAAACAUCCAAAUUGUAAACAUCUACAAAUAGAUGGACCCUACUGAAUUCAUCCGGUUGUGUUCCACCUGAAUCAUGUUUUUACACUGUGCAUAAAUAAGUGUUGCAGCACAUUCAUAUUUGAGCUAACAUGUUUUAAAAUCACUUAUGUAAAUACAACAAUUGUAAGUAAUGUAUAAAGGAUGUU
Molecule: RNA transcript, 4807 nt
Organism: Sardina pilchardus (European sardine)
Lineage: Eukaryota; Metazoa; Chordata; Actinopteri; Clupeiformes; Clupeidae
Gene name: ribonuclease inhibitor-like
Exons: 13
Source: RefSeq, a predicted model, not a curated record